This 123-nucleotide small nuclear RNA is filed under the name Pogona vitticeps (central bearded dragon). The record is from RNAcentral. Lineage: Eukaryota; Metazoa; Chordata; Lepidosauria; Squamata; Agamidae.
AUUUCUGAUGUGGCCAUGGUAUGUGUGACAGAAAUAUAUACAAAAAUUGAAAUGUUACAGAGUAAACUAGCAUCGUUCUAGCACAAGAAUAACACACAAACUUUUGAAGUGUUCCUUUUUUUC